GUACCGUUUAUUUUAAUAACAAACAUGUCGUCUUAGACAUUUUAUUUUUCAAGAAUCAUCAUAUUCCUAUGUAAUUGACAUUGGAUCUUUAUAUGGUGCAUCUCAUAGAAUAUACCAAAAGGAGUUUGUUCGAGAAAUUGUUGAAAUCUCUCUUGCCCAAGAACAGUCAAAAGAUCAGCAAACACAUUCAUGUUGGUACAUGAAGACCAAUGUGUGUGUUUCUUCCUUUCCU
RNAcentral lists this long non-coding RNA (232 nucleotides) under Solanum tuberosum (potato). RNAcentral's name for it is "long non-coding RNA (STUB_LNC003772)". The record is from RNAcentral. Lineage: Eukaryota; Viridiplantae; Streptophyta; Magnoliopsida; Solanales; Solanaceae.